This is a long non-coding RNA of Pipra filicauda (Wire-tailed manakin), 339 nucleotides long. RefSeq lists it as uncharacterized. The transcript has 3 exons. The record is from RefSeq and is a predicted model, not a curated record. NCBI's taxonomy places the organism in Eukaryota, Metazoa, Chordata, Aves, Passeriformes, Pipridae.
CGAAUCUUAACUAUUAAGCUCAUUUACCCUAUAAUUCCUUUAAUGCUCAUUAGCUGAGUGGGUCCCAGAUGGAUCUAUUUUAUUUUUUUUAGCAGUAAAAAGCAAUCAUGAAGUUCAGGUUUGAAUCCAGCUCAAUGAUGAUAAGAAAAAUCUGGGGUUCUGCAUCCUGGACCUUGAGCAUUUGUCUAGCAGCUCAGAUGCCAUCAUACAACCUUGAGAGCCCAGUACAGAAAAGCCAUGUGUCACCUUCUGAUAAAUUGAAGAAUCAAGACUACCAUGUGACUUCUGAUGACAAAUGCUAGACUUCUCAGGGUCUGAGGUACUCCCAGUGGAAUAAAG